GUUCAAGGUGCUUUCCUCGAAUGAACGAAAGAACGAACAACGUCAUCGCCUUAGACCACUGUGGAGCCUUGACAGGGAGCUCUGGGGCAGAGGAAGGAAGGGAGGAAGGAAAGUAGGAAGAACGGAAAAGCCUCUAUCAACCUUUGAUACAGUUUGGAAAUCAACUUUGGAGGUUUGUCAGACUGGCUUAAAAUAGCAUCUGGCUUGUCCAGUGUUUGCUGCGCAGAGAGAAUACGGUGUUGUAUCUGCAAAAAUUCACCUCAGCUCCAUCACAGACUGGUCUUCUCUGGCUGCCUGACCCUGUUGAGACCCUUGUCACCAUCUGAUCCUUCUAAGCUCCGUAGACUUGUCUUCCCUGGCUGUCUGACCCUGCUGGGACCCAUGUCACAAUCUGAUCCUUCUAAGACAUGAUGAGCAUAGUGUUGUGUACUGAUUGUGCACUAGAGGGCUGCAUUCCCGCG
This is a long non-coding RNA of Oncorhynchus tshawytscha (Chinook salmon), 461 nucleotides long. The record is from Ensembl. Lineage: Eukaryota; Metazoa; Chordata; Actinopteri; Salmoniformes; Salmonidae.